AUUCCCUUUACAUACAUUUCCUCCUUCACUCAUAACCCAACAACGGCUGGAAUUAUUUUUUUAUCAUUAUAAAAACAUUUUGUAUAUGCUUGGUUGGUAGUUUAUCAUACUUCCAUGUAGUCGUAAUAAACAAACUACAUCAAACAUGCUCAGUUGUCCUGAGUCUGCACAACACUGCCAGGACCUAGGAUCAAGGGAGACUCCUUGCUGUCCCCAGUCCACCUGCUGCUGCUCCAGUUUCAACUGUUCUUCCUGCGGCUAUGGAACCCUGACCUGUUCACUGGAUGUGCUACCCUUGUCCUGGAACUGCUGUUUUUGACUCUCUCUCUACUGCACCUCUCUCUACUGCACCUCUCUCUACUGCCUACCUCCUCAUGCCUUUUGCACACAAUGUAUAUAGAUUCUUUUUUUUAUACUAUGUUAUUGACUUGUUUAUUGUUUACUCCAUGUGUAACUCUGUGUUGUUGUCUAUUCACACUGCUAUGCUUUAUCUUGGUCAGGUCGCAGUUGCAAAUGAGAACUUGUUCUCAACUAGCGUACCUGGUUAAAUAAAGGUGAAAUAAAAAAGUGCAUGAGCGUGA
This is a long non-coding RNA of Oncorhynchus keta (chum salmon), 581 nucleotides long. RefSeq lists it as uncharacterized. The record is from RefSeq and is a predicted model, not a curated record. NCBI's taxonomy places the organism in Eukaryota, Metazoa, Chordata, Actinopteri, Salmoniformes, Salmonidae. The transcript has 2 exons.